CAUAGAUAAAAUUAAAAAUGUGCUGAUUAGAAAAUUCUUUUCGUAUUGGGUAGAGGUACCGUUUUUGGCCACUUUAGGGCCAAUUUUGGACACUUGAAAAAUUGAAAUAAAAUAAUUUGUAAAAAACGCAAUGACAAAAUUAAUUUUUAAAAUGUAUUCAAAGAUACUUUAACCCGCUAUUAAACUGGAAAUUCUAUUUUAUACUUUUUCAUUAAUUAAAAUAACGUAUCAAAUGUCCAAAAAUGGAGCAGUGGCCACAAAUGGUACCUCUACCCUAUCUCUGAUUAAGAAAAGUGAUUAGAAAAAAUUGGAAUGUUUUGUAAUCUUUCUGAAUUCUCAAUAAAAAUUACAAUUUUUCAAAUCGCUUCAAAAAUUUCUUAGUGAUUUAAAACUAUUUGAAAGUAAUUAAAAAAAUUGAGUAUUUUUAAAAAUGACGUAAACGAUGGUCGUUUUGACCAAAGAAUGCUACAGAACUUCCGAAUUUAUUUUUUAAAAGCGAACCGAGAUGAUCAUCAUGUCCAUAGACAGAGCACUCAUCUUGACUACGGCUCCCAUGGAGAAUAAGAUAUCUAAUAGGCAUCGUAGUUUAAAAUUUAUUUAUUUUUUUUUUACUCGGCUGAAGAACGUCAACGCCCGAUGACUACAAAACUUUUUGUAAACAGAAAGUUCGACCUGAGUAUAGCCAUGGGAUGAAUCAUAACAAUAAAUCGAUGGGCGCAAUAAAAGUUAAAAUAUUAAAUAGUAACGAAUACUAGUAUGCCUAUAGUAUUUUUUGAAGGACUUUAGACGUUUUCAAUGUAACGUCUAUUUAUAAAAAACGCGCAUCUUGUAUACUUGCCUUGUUACAGAAAAAUUAAAAAAAUCUGCUGAUUAGAAAAUGGAAUUUAAAGGCCAGUUCUUUAAUUCAAGAUUUUGAUUAGGGAAAAAUAAAAUAAAUAUACAACUUAUAAUUUGAAUAAAUUGUUUAUAAUUAAUAUUUAAUCUACAUUUAUUAUGUAUUUAAGUAAAUCUACAUAACACAACAAAUUAUUUAUAACAUAUUAAAAAACAAUAGUUAUAUUUUUUUAUUAAAUUAAAAUACU
Long non-coding RNA from Microplitis mediator, 1082 nucleotides. RefSeq lists it as uncharacterized. The transcript has 3 exons. NCBI's taxonomy places the organism in Eukaryota, Metazoa, Arthropoda, Insecta, Hymenoptera, Braconidae. The record is from RefSeq and is a predicted model, not a curated record.